GACGAACGCUGGCGGCGUGCUUAACACAUGCAAGUCGAACGAUGAAGAAGAGAAACGCGAACUUCGGUUCAAAUUUCACUUCGGAUUAGUGGCAGACGGGUGAGUAACGCGUGAGCAACCUACCUCUUACAAAGGGAUAGCCUCGGGAAACCGUGAUUAAUACCAUAUGACACAUUCAUAAGGCAUCUUAAGAAUGUUAAAGCUACGGCGGUAAGAGAUGGGCUCGCGUCCCAUUAGCUAGUUGGUGAGGUAACGGCCCACCAAGGCGACGAUGGGUAACCGGCCUGAGAGGGUGAGCGGUCACAUUGGAACUGAGACACGGUCCAAACUCCUACGGGAGGCAGCAGUGGGGAAUAUUGCACAAUGGAGGGAACUCUGAUGCAGCGACGCCGCGUGAGCGAUGAAGGAAUUCGUUUCGUAAAGCUCUGUUCUAUGGGAAGAAAAGGACUGUACCAUAGGAGAAAGCCCCGGCUAAAUACGU
Molecule: ribosomal RNA, 481 nt
Filed under: uncultured bacterium
Lineage: Bacteria
Description: partial 16S ribosomal RNA
Rfam family: Bacterial small subunit ribosomal RNA
Source: RNAcentral